RNAcentral lists this ribosomal RNA (206 nucleotides) under uncultured bacterium. RNAcentral describes it as "partial 16S ribosomal RNA". It matches the Rfam family "Bacterial small subunit ribosomal RNA", at positions 568 to 774 of the family's 1533-position model. The record is from RNAcentral.
UGCGUAGGCGGUCUUGCAAGUCAGGAGUGAAAGGCAUUGGCUCAACCAAUGUAAGCUCUUGAAACUGUUAGACUUGAGUGCAGGAGAGGAAAGUGGAAUUCCUAGUGUAGAGGUGAAAUUCGUAGAUAUUAGGAGGAACACCAGUGGCGAAGGCGACUUUCUGGACUGUAACUGACGCUGAGGCACGAAAGCGUGGGGAGCGAACA